Molecule: long non-coding RNA, 399 nt
Filed under: Nicotiana benthamiana
Lineage: Eukaryota; Viridiplantae; Streptophyta; Magnoliopsida; Solanales; Solanaceae
Description: long non-coding RNA (NBEN_LNC024198)
Source: RNAcentral
UUUAUUACCCACUUAGGAAGAAAAUUGAUAAUGUACGAUAUUCGAGCUUUGACAAUGACUCAAAUAAUGAGGUCAAUAAAGCAUAUAAUCAUAAAUCUUUACCUACUCAACACUACUUUUGUCAAAAGCAGGCAAUCUUUUUAGCUCCAAACCAUUCACUUCCAACAACAGCGAUCUUUUUGCCCUACUUGCAUUUAUACCUACUACGUAUAACUGCAUCUUAAUUUCUUUAAUUAAAUUCGGUGAACAAUAAAUUAAACCAAAGCUAGAUAUUACUAGAAUAUUCUAGACUAUUUUAAAAUAGUCUAGAAUGAGCUAGAAUGUUCUAGAAGGUUCGAGAACAUUAUGGAGUUCUCUGGAACAUUCUAGAAGAUGAUAGAAACUCUUUUAUGUAUNNNN